Long non-coding RNA from Prionailurus viverrinus (fishing cat), 874 nucleotides. RefSeq lists it as uncharacterized. Lineage: Eukaryota; Metazoa; Chordata; Mammalia; Carnivora; Felidae. The record is from RefSeq and is a predicted model, not a curated record. The transcript has 2 exons.
CUGUUCCGCACCCCUUUCUCUGUCUUGCCCGGCCAUCUCUAGCUGACUGACGGAAGACACUCCCUCCCCCACCCCGGGCACACCACCAGAGCCUGCGCUGUUAGCCUGCUCCUAGCUUUUCUUGCUUUCCGCUGGAGACCUUAGGCCAGUCCUUAGCCGCCCAGACUUGGGAUCGGGGUCCCUGCCCUGGAGACCCAAAAGGGAUUUGGGGAGUGCCGGGUGCACCAGCGCCUUGGGACCAGGACUCAAAAGUGUGGUGUAGUCAUGAACACUCGUCUCAAACAAUCUAGAUGCCAGAAUCAUGGCCCACAACAGAAUUCCCCAAGCCCCCCUCACUGAGCUAGUCAGGGAGACAAGCAGCCGCUGAGGGGCGAUAGCAACUGGGGGAAGCAGAGGUCCAGAUGUGUUCUCCACAUUAGGUGCCCAAGCUGUUUCUUAGUUUUUUGCUGCAACAAGAAGCAUUGUCCUGAACACUAUGUUUUCCACUCGACCCUGCGUACAAAAAGUACAGCCCUCCUCAUAGAGUGGGAAGUAAGCCCGCGAGGAAGCCAGGCAGCUGGUGUCGAGCAGUUCUGUCCUCCAAAAUAAGACACAGUGCCUGACUUCAUACAAUCUACUGGAGAACAGAUCUUACACAGACCCAGCGUCACAAUGUGUGUGGUUCCACACUCAACGUGGGGCUUGAAUUGAGGACCCUGAGAUCAAGAGUCAGAUGCCCUACCAACUGAGCCAGCCAGGCCCGCCUCUUCCUCCUCUAUUACCAUUGAUGUCUUAGCCAUACACAAGUAUUUAGCUGUUAAUUGUGUUGUUUGCCCUUUAUACAGAGCAAAUUCUCAAUAGGCAUUUCUUGGAUGAAAUGAAUGGAAGAAUAUCA